Molecule: ribosomal RNA, 497 nt
Filed under: uncultured bacterium
Lineage: Bacteria
Description: partial 16S ribosomal RNA
Rfam family: Bacterial small subunit ribosomal RNA
Source: RNAcentral
GACGAACGCUGGCGGCGUGCCUAAUACAUGCAAGUUGAGCGCUGAAGGUUGGUACUUGUACCAACUGGAUGAGCAGCGAACGGGUGAGUAACGCGUGGGGAAUCUGCCUUUGAGCGGGGGACAACAUUUGGAUACGAAUGCUAAUACCGCAUAAAAACUUUAAACACAAGUUUUAAGUUUGAAAGAUGCAAUUGCAUCACUCAAAGAUGAUCCCGCGUUGUAUUAGCUAGUUGGUGAGGUAAAGGCUCACCAAGGCGAUGAUACAUAGCCGACCUGAGAGGGUGAUCGGCCACAUUGGGACUGAGACACGGCCCAAACUCCUACGGGAGGCAGCAGUAGGGAAUCUUCGGCAAUGGACGAAAGUCUGACCGAGCAACGCCGCGUGAGUGAAGAAGGUUUUCGGAUCGUAAAACUCUGUUGGUAGAGAAGAACGUUGGUGAGAGUGGAAAGCUCAUCAAGUGACGGUAACUACCCAGAAAGGGACGGCUAACUACGUG